CUAGGAGAAAUGGUCUGCUGUGUACCUGGUUUGUUAGAGGAUAAUUGCUGUUAUUGUUGCUGUUGUUCUUGCUACCGUUAUGGGGUUGCCAUUAUUGCCCUCGUUGUGUCUGCUGUGUCCGUUCAUGUAUUAUGCUGUUCUGAUACCACUUCUUCUCUCCGAUUCUGUAUAAAUAGCCUCUGUAAAUAUGCACUUGUCAAUG
RNAcentral lists this long non-coding RNA (202 nucleotides) under Elaeis guineensis (African oil palm). RNAcentral describes it as "long non-coding RNA (EGUI_LNC007409)". Lineage: Eukaryota; Viridiplantae; Streptophyta; Magnoliopsida; Arecales; Arecaceae. The record is from RNAcentral.